RNAcentral lists this ribosomal RNA (456 nucleotides) under uncultured bacterium. RNAcentral describes it as "bacterial SSU rRNA". It matches the Rfam family "Bacterial small subunit ribosomal RNA", at positions 28 to 474 of the family's 1533-position model. The record is from RNAcentral.
GACGAACGCUGGCGGCGUGCCUAAUACAUGCAAGUCGAGCGGAGAUGUUGGAGCUUGCUCCAACAUCUUAGCGGCGGACGGGUGAGUAACACGUGGGCAACCUGCCCUGCAGAUCGGGAUAACUCCGGGAAACCGGUGCUAAUACCGAAUAGUUUGUUUCACCGCCUGGUGAAACACGGAAAGACGGUUUCGGCUGUCACUGCAGGAUGGGCCCGCGGCGCAUUAGCUAGUUGGUGGGGUAAUGGCCCACCAAGGCGACGAUGCGUAGCCGACCUGAGAGGGUGAUCGGCCACACUGGGACUGAGACACGGCCCAGACUCCUACGGGAGGCAGCAGUAGGGAAUCUUCCGCAAUGGACGAAAGUCUGACGGAGCAACGCCGCGUGAGUGACGAAGGUUUUCGGAUCGUAAAACUCUGUUGUGAGGGAAGAACAAGUACCAACUAACUACUGGUACC